Molecule: ribosomal RNA, 253 nt
Filed under: uncultured bacterium
Lineage: Bacteria
Description: partial 16S ribosomal RNA
Rfam family: Bacterial small subunit ribosomal RNA
Source: RNAcentral
UACAGAGGGUGCGAGCGUUAAUCGGAAUUACUGGGCGUAAAGCGUGCGUAGGCGGCUUUUCAAGUCGAUUGUGAAAUCCCCGGGCUUAACCUGGGAACUGCAGUCGAGACUGUCUAGCUAGAGUAUGGGAGAGGGAAGUGGAAUUUCAGGUGUAGCGGUGAAAUGCGUAGAUAUCUGAAGGAACAUCAGUGGCGAAAGCGACUUCCUGGACCAAUACUGACGCUCAUGUGCGAAAGCGUGGGGAGCAAACAGG